GAAUCCCUUCGGGGUGUAAACUGCUGUCAGGGCUUAGGAAUUUUGACCAGACCCAAAGGAAGGGCCGGCUAACUUCGUGCCAGCAGCCGCGGUAAUACGAAGGGCCCGAGCGUUAAUCGGAAUCACUGGGCUUAAAGGGUGUGCAGGCGGAUCGACAAGUAUCUUGUGAAAUCCCACAGCUCAACUGUGGAAUUGCUCGGUAAACUGUUGAUCUUGAGUCAUAGAGAGGCAAUCGGAACGAUAGGUGGAGCGGUGAAAUGCGUAGAUAUCUAUCGGAACGCCAAAGGAGAAGUCAGAUUGCUGGCUAUGUACUGAUGCUCAUACACGAAAGCGUGGGUAGCGAACGGGAUUAGAUACCCCGGUAGUCCACGCCCUAAACGAUGUGCACUAGAUCGAGGAGGUCUUGACACCAUCUCGAUUGUAGUUAAAACAUUAAGUGCACCGCCGGGG
This 450-nucleotide ribosomal RNA is filed under the name uncultured Planctomycetota bacterium. Its description in RNAcentral is "bacterial SSU rRNA". It matches the Rfam family "Bacterial small subunit ribosomal RNA", at positions 410 to 877 of the family's 1533-position model. Lineage: Bacteria; Pseudomonadati; Planctomycetota. The record is from RNAcentral.